Non-coding RNA from Schizosaccharomyces pombe (fission yeast), 356 nucleotides. The record is from the annotation of a GenBank genome assembly. NCBI's taxonomy places the organism in Eukaryota, Fungi, Ascomycota, Schizosaccharomycetes, Schizosaccharomycetales, Schizosaccharomycetaceae.
AAAAGAAAAGGAGGUUCUCCUGUGGGUGUGUGUGUGUUAAUGGCAAAUCACUAGUAAGAUGAAGCGAUUGUUAGUACCACCAAAAUACUAUCAUUUUAAUCGAAAAAUAUAAUAAAUCUAAAUUUUAUCUUGGGAUUAAUCACUUUUGCUAGGUAAUAAGGGUGAAGAGGCAGAGUACCCUGGUGCAAUUCGUUUAAGCUUUUCAAGACGCUCUACUUCAAGAUUUUUUUUCCAGUUUUGAUAAUUUUCUGUUAAUUCUUCAUCUGUGGGUAAUUUGGUUGACAUAACAUCUACAUCUUCAAGAUUUAUUCGAGGCUAAAAUAGCUUGAUUAGUAUAUAAAUUGGCAUCCCAAACA